AACCAUGCCCUUCGGGGCUCCUUGGUGAUUCAUAAUAACUUAACGAAUCGCAUGGCCUUGCGCCGGCGAUGGUUCAUUCAAAUUUCUGCCCUAUCAACUUUCGAUGGUACAGUAGUGGUCUACCAUGGUUUUAACGGGUAACGGGGAAUUAGGGUUCUAUUCCGGAGAGGGAGCCUGAGAAACGGCUACCACAUCCAAGGAAGGCAGCAGGCGCGCAAAUUACCCAAUCCCAAUUCGGGGAGGUAGUGACAAUAAAUACUGAUACAGGGCUCUUUCGGGUCUUGUAAUUGGAAUGAGAACAAUUUAAAUCCCUUAACGAGGAACAAUUGGAGGGCAAGUCUGGUGCCAGCAGCCGCGGUAAUUCCAGCUCCAAUAGCGUAUAUUAAAGUUGUUGCAGUUAAAAAGCUCGUAGUUGAACCUUGGGCCUGACCGAUCUGUCCUCCUAAUCGAGCGCACGGAUUCGGUUGGGUCUUUCCUUCUGGGGAACCCUAUGCCCUUCACUGGGCGUAGUGGGGAACCAGGACUUUUAC
This 530-nucleotide ribosomal RNA is filed under the name ascomycete from Cephaloziella exiliflora rhizoid. Its description in RNAcentral is "SSU rRNA". It matches the Rfam family "Eukaryotic small subunit ribosomal RNA", at positions 220 to 755 of the family's 1831-position model. The record is from RNAcentral. Lineage: Eukaryota; Fungi; Ascomycota.